ACGAACGCUGGCGGCAUGCCUAACACCUGCCAGUCGAACGAGACCUUCGGGUCUAGUGGCGCACGGGUGCGUAACGCGUGGGAACCUGCCCUUAGGUUCGGAAUAACUCCCCGAAAGGGGUGCUAAUACCGGAUAAUGUCUUCGGACCAAAGAUUUAUCGCCUUUGGAUGGGCCCGCGUUGGAUUAGCUAGUUGGUAGGGUAAAAGCCUACCAAGGCGACGAUCCAUAGCUGGUCUGAGAGGAUGAUCAGCCACACUGGGACUGAGACACGGCCCAGACUCCUACGGGAGGCAGCAGUGGGGAAUAUUGGACAAUGGGCGAAAGCCUGAUCCAGCAAUGCCGCGUGAGUGAUGAAGGCCUUAGGGUUGUAAAGCUCUUUUACCCGGGAUGAUAAUGACAGUACCGGGAGAAUAAGCGCCGGCUAACUCCGUG
This 432-nucleotide ribosomal RNA is filed under the name uncultured bacterium. RNAcentral describes it as "partial 16S ribosomal RNA". It matches the Rfam family "Bacterial small subunit ribosomal RNA", at positions 29 to 507 of the family's 1533-position model. The record is from RNAcentral.